AUUUGGUAACAAGGUCUCCGUUGGUGAACCAGCGGAGGGAUCAUUACCGAGUUUACAACUCCCAAACCCCUGUGAACAUACCUUAUGUUGCCUCGGCGGAUCAGCCCGCGCCCCGUAAAAAGGGACGGCCCGCCGCAGGAACCCUAAACUCUGUUUUUAGUGGAACUUCUGAGUAUAAAAAACAAAUAAAUCAAAACUUUCAACAACGGAUCUCUUGGUUCUGGCAUCGAUGAAGAACGCAGCAAAAUGCGAUAAGUAAUGUGAAUUGCAGAAUUCAGUGAAUCAUCGAAUCUUUGAACGCACAUUGCGCCCGCCAGUAUUCUGGCGGGCAUGCCUGUUCGAGCGUCAUUUCAACCCUCAAGCCCAGCUUGGUGUUGGGAGCUGCAGUCCUGCUGCACUCCCCAAAUACAUUGGCGGUCACGUCGAGCUUCCAUAGCGUAGUAAUUUACAUAUCGUUACUGGUAAUCGUCGCGGCCACGCCGUUAAACCCCAACUUCUGAAUGUUGACCUCGGAUCAGGUAGGAAUACCCGCUGAACUUAAGCAUAUCAAUA
This 552-nucleotide ribosomal RNA is filed under the name Fusarium culmorum. RNAcentral's name for it is "eukaryotic LSU rRNA". The stretch from base 195 to 348 matches the Rfam family "5.8S ribosomal RNA". The record is from RNAcentral. Lineage: Eukaryota; Fungi; Ascomycota; Sordariomycetes; Hypocreales; Nectriaceae.